GAAAAGAUAAGCUAAAGCAAGCUAUUAGGUUCAUACCCUAAACAUAGAAUUAAUAAUCUUCUUUUUA
Molecule: transfer RNA, 67 nt
Filed under: Nesophrosyne sp. 246 GMB-2012
Lineage: Eukaryota; Metazoa; Arthropoda; Insecta; Hemiptera; Cicadellidae
Description: tRNA-Met
Source: RNAcentral